GCGCUAGAGUCUCUAUCACAGUACCAAUUCUGAGCUGUCAGAAGGCUGCUCUAUUUUAUUCUUUUUUUUCUCUCUCUAUGUGACACAUUUUAGCUUUCUACAAAAAGGGAAUAAAGGGGAAGCGGCUCUGGCUAGCCUUGGAAAAGCUAUUUAGCUUGCAUAUUGUGGAACUGUCUUCCCUAGCUAGUUAGUGCCAUUUUAUAACACUGCAGCAUAUUGGAUCAAAGACUAGAACUGCCACCUCCUGUUUACAGUGGGCUGGAGCAGUCACAGAAUUGUCAGGGCUACUUUCUGUCUCGGUGUGAUUGGAAAUAAGACUGAAAACGGUAUCUUAGCAAGAAGAUGUGCACAAGCCUCUAAAAUUACGUUUUUGAGAGACAAAAGAAACACAAACAAGAAACAUGGGUACUCACCAUGUUCUUAUAACACCAGCUAAGUGGGCUUUGACGUAUGCUGAGAUCAGAGAGCAAGAUGCAUGCUGCAUCAUGGGACCAAGGAUCUUAUGAGGAUAUUUGGUAUCUAUAAUAUACCAUCUGUAUGUGAUUUAAGUCACUCUCAGAGGUGCAACCCUUUUGUUUACUUAUUCUGUGUGUUUUUACUGAAAAGCUGACUUGUAUGUGCAAGCAUCAUUUUGUGGACUCAGUGACGACUUAAGGACUAUUGCCUAAAGACUUCUAAGGGGCUUUUGCAGUUUGUACAGAUCCCCUUUUUCCAUCAAGGUCUUCUACAACCAAAUAGAACUGCUUAUAUUUUUAGUUCCAGAAGUUUCUACUUUAAUCAUGAUGGUGACUGUGCAUCCAUCACCUCAUGCAUACUGGGUGUGUAAUAUUUAAAGGGAUUAAACUUUGACAAUACUGUUUCCUUAGGUCUCACAAUGCUGUAUGUAAAAUAAAGGAGUAUGAACUAUUCAGUACCUUAUUUAUAUAUGAAACUAUUCAGUACACUUACUUACUUACUUAUAUGGUCUGGUAUAUUGGAAAAAAUUUUUGACACACUGAUAAGUACAUAUUUUGUAGAAAUUUUACAAAAUGGGAUCAAAAGUUGUAUUUGCAUCUCCCUUCCUAUAAUUUUUGUGCUUUUGUGAAAGAAAGGAUACAUAUAUAUAUAUGCAAAGUAUUUGGGACUGAAAAGUAUAGAAAUUUUUUCUUAAAUAUUUUAUAUACUUUCUGCAUUGAGAGAUCCUUAGGUUAAAUGCUGAAAUCUCUUCAGUAUUUUUCCUAAACUCCUCUUCAAAAAUGAAGAGACAAAAGACUUUGUAUUUUGGGUCUGUUAAUUCAAACAAGAAAUAAUGUCAAUGGAAACUAAUUAAUGAAAAAAAACCAAAACUGGUGCUCAGAACAUAAAUGGGACUUAGAAAUGCAGCUCCUAGAAUUUCCAGCCUGGUUCAGUUAGACUAUCAUAAUAGAGUGACUAUAAUUACUACCUAGUUAUAACUGUAUCUUUUCAUUAAUUACCUUUUCUCACAGACAUGUAGGCUCACACAUUUAUGCAUUAUGAUUCAGGCCAUGCUUUUUAUUAUUCUUUUUUAAACCUUGGUAUCCUUGUGUGCAUUUGCUCAAAAGAGAAGCUAAGACAAACCAUUUACUUUCUCUGUAUUGACCAAAAUUUAAUAAAUUUGUGAACUUACUUCACACCUGCACAUCAGACCCACUUCAAAUAACAUUCUAGUACCAUUCCUGAUACUCAUUCUUGCCUUGUAUAUUGAUUUUAAAUAUCUUCUUCUAGUUCCUCUCUAUGUGAAACUGUUUAAAAUAAAGAAAGGAAAGAACUCUGGUGGUUACAGGAGCCCUCCAGAAUAGCUUUCUCUGACACAAGUCCUCAUUUGGAGAAAUUAUUUCACAUUAAUGAUUCAACUCUCAUGGAAUUUUGGAAAUAUUUCACCAUGUAACUGAAAAGAACUACUUUGCAAGGAGAGGAACUAUGUUCUUGCCAUGUAGUGGACAGGUGAUUACAGUCAGCCAUUUCUUUCCUCUUUUCUUCUAGCUGCAAUCUCCAAGUCCUGUUUUAGAAAUAUUACCCCAGAGGAGGGGAAAAAAAUCCCUGAAAUGUUUGUUAGAUAAAAUGCAUUAUUUAAAAAAAAGAAAAUACAUUAAUUUGAAUACUGUUACUUAGGCAACAUCAGAGCUUCAGCAUAGCUAUCACUUACUCAGAAGGAAAAUGGCUCCAAGUACAUGUAAAUGUAGUUCAUGUAAUUUCUUUAUGGUUUUGGAAAGCAACCAGUUAAUCUCAGACCACCUGGUCAGGCUCUCUCUUGUUUUUGCAUCUAACUACUUAGUUUCACAUCUGGUACAGUUGAGAAAAAAUAAGGGAAAAAAGGUCUAGCUGGGUUGCUUUCCCUCUUCAUAAGAGUAAAGUCAGGCAUUCCUUAACUAUUUCACCUGUGAUUUGGAUUUCAUUUUUCUUUUCAGAGAACAGACUUGUUGGGAUGAUGACUUUAAAAUCCCUUGCCUAUGUUGAUAUUUAUAAACCACAGAGGGCGGAGGUUAAGCUCUGGCCCUGUUUUCAACGGCUUCUCUCAUCAGCCAAGGUCAGGAGCUGAGCUCCUGCGGGACCUUGGGUUCACAGUUUUAUUGCCAAUGAGCAAUGCCUUGAAACUGCAUCCAGUUCUGCACUUCAGAAGUUUAUGUGGUGCUGUUUUUAGUAUCUUGAUUAAAACUUAGUAGUAAACAUAAAGUAACUCUCCUGUCACUAUAUAUUUUCAAGUUUUACUAUUUUUUCACCACUCCUGUUUAUGAUCAGAGUAAUAAAUGCACCUCUGCAGGUUUUUCCCUGACAUUUUAUGCUUCUGACUUCAUUAAUAAAAUCUGCUAUAGAAAUGCUAAAACAAUGUCUCAGGCAGUUAAAUAAGCAGAAUGACCUUAUUAAAUAGGUGUUUUUCAAUAUUUAAAAGUAAGACAUUUUUUAGAUAAAAUAUGCAAUUCACCAGUUUGGUGUUCACAUACUUUUCUUUUUUCUUUUUUAACUCAGUAAAAGACAAUCCAGAAUAGCUCACCUCCACCUGCAAAUAAAUGUGGAAAGAAGCAGCCUGGACAGAUUUACCCUUACAGAACAUAAUUAUGAUAAUAGCUACACAUAGAUUUAUUUAAGAUUAUUCCUAUUCUUGGCAUUUUCUUAAAGAUUUGUGGAACUCUUAGCCUUUCCCCUUCCUUUUUUUCUCCUGGUAGUGCAGUGGGAUGAUCAGGUUCAGUGUCUAAUGAGGCAGCCAUUCCGAACACGUAGAGACAAAGAAGAGGUUUCCCUGGCAACGAGGACCAUGCCAGAGCUCUCAGAACAGUUAUUUUCCCCGUAUUCAGGUUCCUUUUCUGUUUAGGAUGCCUAUUAGUGUGAGUUCACAGGCAAUUCCUGGCAAGCUUUUCAGAGAUUACAGCUCCUAAAUAUACAUAACAAAAUAAAACUAAGGCUAUGAUUUAUGAGUAAACUAAAAAGUGGUAAACUGACAUAUAUUUUUUCCAGUUUUAUAUUUUUUUGUAGAAUCUUAAAACAAUUAUGACUGUUCAUUAUAUAUGUCUAAAGCUAUUAAAUACACUGCCCAUAUCUCUUUAGAGCUUUACUGGUCUCAACAAAAUUUGUGGGAGUUCACUGAAUUCUGAGCCAUAUUUCUGCUAUCGCUAGAAAAAGCACUGAUUGAGGUUUUAGAUCUAAAACAUGCAUUAAUUUAAGCACAUAUAGAUGUGAUGAAAUAUUUAGAACUGUAUGUAAUAUUUCUUGAAUUUAAACCUCAGUUUAAAUGUAGAGAAAAUUUACAGUAAUAAAGUAUUGAAAUGUUAGAUAUGUUUUACUAUUUAAAAGCAAAAUGAAUUUACAAUGAAAUUAAAUUCUUUAGUUCAAAUCUU
This is a long non-coding RNA of Taeniopygia guttata (zebra finch), 3833 nucleotides long. RefSeq lists it as uncharacterized. Lineage: Eukaryota; Metazoa; Chordata; Aves; Passeriformes; Estrildidae. The record is from RefSeq and is a predicted model, not a curated record.